UGAGGAAGGAGGAGUCGUAACAAGGUUUCCGUAGGUGAACCUGCGGAAGGAUCAUUGUCGUAUCCCGGCCCAACGGCACACUCGCGAACUGUCCCAUCCCGUCCUCGGUAGGUAGGACGCCCCCGCACCCGCGGGACGCCGACCGACCCGACCGACGAACCUUCUCCGGCGCGGUCCGCGCCAAGGAACACCGACCGACGAGAACGCCCGCGCCGUCCUCGCUCCGUGCCUGGCCGCGCGGGCGCUCCCACGUACAGAAAUCUUAACGACUCCCGGCAACGGAUAUCUAGGCUCUCGCAUCGAUGAAGAACGUAGCGAAAUGCGAUACGUGGUGUGAAUUGCAGAAUCCCGUGAACCAUCGAAUCUUUGAACGCAAGUUGCGCCCGAGGCCGUCAGGCCGAGGGCACGCCUGCCUGGGCGUCACGCCCCGCGUCGCUCCCACUCCCCCCCGCCCCUCACGGCGGCGGCGGCAGUGGGACGUGGAGAUUGGCCUACCGUGCUGCGGCGCGGCGGGCCGAAGUGCUCGAACCCUUCCCCCGUGCGUGGGACGAGAACACGGCGAGUGGUGGAUUGGAUCGGACCGACCGACUCAUCGUCGCCGUGCCCUUCUCGCCCCGCCGCCCGGCGGGCGGGAUUCACGAAACCCAGCCGCGAGCGGCCGUUCGGAGGCGCCGCGCGCCGCCGACGCCCGCUCCGACCGCGACCCCAGGUCAGGCGGGGCCACCCGCUGAGUUUAAGCAUAUCAAUAAGCGGAGGAA
This 758-nucleotide ribosomal RNA is filed under the name Fenestratarum culum. RNAcentral describes it as "eukaryotic LSU rRNA". The stretch from base 268 to 423 matches the Rfam family "5.8S ribosomal RNA". Lineage: Eukaryota; Viridiplantae; Streptophyta; Magnoliopsida; Alismatales; Araceae. The record is from RNAcentral.